UACGAAGGGGGCUAGCGUUGCUCGGAAUCACUGGGCGUAAAGCGCACGUAGGCGGGUCUUUAAGUCAGGGGUGAAAUCCUGGAGCUCAACUCCAGAACUGCCUUUGAUACUGAGGAUCUCGAGUCCGGGAGAGGUGAGUGGAACUCCGAGUGUAGAGGUGAAAUUCGUAGAUAUUCGCAAGAACACCAGUGGCGAAGGCGGCUCACUGGCCCGAUACUGACGCUGAGGCACGAAAGCGUGGGGAGCGAACAGG
This 253-nucleotide ribosomal RNA is filed under the name uncultured bacterium. RNAcentral describes it as "partial 16S ribosomal RNA". It matches the Rfam family "Bacterial small subunit ribosomal RNA", at positions 524 to 776 of the family's 1533-position model. The record is from RNAcentral.